This 535-nucleotide ribosomal RNA is filed under the name Bifidobacterium longum. Its description in RNAcentral is "bacterial SSU rRNA". It matches the Rfam family "Bacterial small subunit ribosomal RNA", at positions 158 to 707 of the family's 1533-position model. Lineage: Bacteria; Bacillati; Actinomycetota; Actinomycetes; Bifidobacteriales; Bifidobacteriaceae. The record is from RNAcentral.
GGGUGGUAAUGCCGGAUGCUCCAGUUGAUCGCAUGGUCUUCUGGGAAAGCUUUCGCGGUAUGGGAUGGGGUCGCGUCCUAUCAGCUUGACGGCGGGGUAACGGCCCACCGUGGCUUCGACGGGUAGCCGGCCUGAGAGGGCGACCGGCCACAUUGGGACUGAGAUACGGCCCAGACUCCUACGGGAGGCAGCAGUGGGGAAUAUUGCACAAUGGGCGCAAGCCUGAUGCAGCGACGCCGCGUGAGGGAUGGAGGCCUUCGGGUUGUAAACCUCUUUUAUCGGGGAGCAAGCGAGAGUGAGUUUACCCGUUGAAUAAGCACCGGCUAACUACGUGCCAGCAGCCGCGGUAAUACGUAGGGUGCAAGCGUUAUCCGGAAUUAUUGGGCGUAAAGGGCUCGUAGGCGGUUCGUCGCGUCCGGUGUGAAAGUCCAUCGCUUAACGGUGGAUCCGCGCCGGGUACGGGCGGGCUUGAGUGCGGUAGGGGAGACUGGAAUUCCCGGUGUAACGGUGGAAUGUGUAGAUAUCGGAAAGAAAC